Molecule: long non-coding RNA, 648 nt
Organism: Sinocyclocheilus rhinocerous
Lineage: Eukaryota; Metazoa; Chordata; Actinopteri; Cypriniformes; Cyprinidae
Exons: 3
Source: RefSeq, a predicted model, not a curated record
AACAGCAGUGUAAAUACAUCAAAUAUACCGUAUUCGUGAUUCAUGAUAGCAUAUUCAUAAACCACGGUGUUGCUGUAGAAAGUGAUGUGUGAACUUAGUCCUGGCUGAAUUUCUGCAGGUUUCUCCCAAGAUCCAGCAGUUCAGCAGAUGUUUACUGUCGUCACCCUCCACCAUGUUGAAGACGUGGGCCAAGCUGCAGCCGCGGACUGAAACUCUUCUGACGACGCUGGUGUCAGAGAAAGUCAACAACAGAACCUCUUUAGAAGCUGCGUGGAAGAAAGAUGAAAGAUAUCUGCUGUCAGCGUUUUGUCAGUGGAUCCCUGAGUCUCUUCAUGCAGAGGUCAGUAAAAGCUGGCCACCGAUCUGACUCGGUGACCUCUGACCUGUCUGACUACAUGGCGACCUGCACUGGCCUUUUAAUCGUAAACGCAGCAGGACACGCGUGCCGUAAGACAUUUUUAAUGAACAGGAUCUUCCUGCUUGUGCCUCAUUCUCUGACAUCACACGGAUGGAUUCCUCUGAAAGCCUGUGGACAGAUGAAGACUUCCAGUGUAAAACGAUGUCAAGAUCUCACGCAGACUUCUUUUUGUAAAAAUCUUCAGAUCAGAACACCAAAACAAAUAAAUUCCUCUGUCUUUAAACAAGCUU